Molecule: ribosomal RNA, 276 nt
Filed under: Escherichia coli
Lineage: Bacteria; Pseudomonadati; Pseudomonadota; Gammaproteobacteria; Enterobacterales; Enterobacteriaceae
Description: partial 23S ribosomal RNA
Rfam family: Bacterial large subunit ribosomal RNA
Source: RNAcentral
GGUAACAUCAAAUCGUACCCCAAACCGACACAGGUGGUCAGGUAGAGAAUACCAAGGCGCUUGAGAGAACUCGGGUGAAGGAACUAGGCAAAAUGGUGCCGUAACUUCGGGAGAAGGCACGCUGAUAUGUAGGUGAAGUCCCUUGCGGAUGGAGCUGAAAUCAGUCGAAGAUACCAGCUGGCUGCAACUGUUUAUUAAAAACACAGCACUGUGCAAACACGAAAGUGGACGUAUACGGUGUGACGCCUGCCCGGUGCCGGAAGGUUAAUUGAUGGG